UUAGAUCCUCCCAUUCUAACCUUCUGUAAUAUUGAUGUUAUGAUCCCAGACCUAUGUUUUAUGAUUCUUCAAGCAAAAGUGACUCUACUGUAAAGGAUUAGAGCAAAGCUGGAGGAUGGUAUGGAUGGAGAGAUGCCCAGACAUCUGAACUCUUGUUAGCUGACCAACAAAUUUGUUGAAAUGCAGCCAAGUCAGUCUAAUCAUUUCCCCGUAGCAGGCAACAAAAACCAAUUCAUGCUCCCUUCAACAAAGAAGGAACUGCCUGGAAGGAUGUCAGGGAUUCACAGAAUUGACCAGAAAUUGGAACUGAGGGAGCUUCAGAGGAACCACAACAAAAAUCAUAACACAGGAACAAUGUGGUCUUCACACUGACUCUGUUACGAUUUCCAGUUCUAACUUUGGUGUUGUCUCACUGCUCUCGACUGAAAUUUCUGAAAUAGAGUCUCCAAAUGAUCGUGCCUCGGGCCCAGGCUCAGGUGACACUCCCUAAAACUGUACACAAAGGGAGAUUCCUCUAAAGGGAAAUUAGGAUGAAAAUGGGAAGUGGGGUUAAAACUAACAAAUGCACCAUUUGCAACGACGUGGAUGGAACUGGAGGAUGUUAGGCUGAGUGAAAUAAGUCAAUCAGAGAAAGACAUGUAUCAUAUGACCUCACUGAUAUGAGGAAUUCUUAAUCUCAGGAAACAAAUUGAG
Molecule: long non-coding RNA, 693 nt
Filed under: Zalophus californianus (California sea lion)
Lineage: Eukaryota; Metazoa; Chordata; Mammalia; Carnivora; Otariidae
Description: lncRNA (ENSZCAG00015010377.1)
Source: RNAcentral